This 546-nucleotide ribosomal RNA is filed under the name Xanthoparmelia tinctina. RNAcentral's name for it is "SSU rRNA". It matches the Rfam family "Bacterial small subunit ribosomal RNA", at positions 407 to 929 of the family's 1533-position model. The record is from RNAcentral. Lineage: Eukaryota; Fungi; Ascomycota; Lecanoromycetes; Lecanorales; Parmeliaceae.
GAGGAAUGUAUAGCAAUAGCUAGUUGCAUCAUAGUAGAUAUGAUGCAAGAUCGACUAUGUUGAAUAAAAUUCUAGGUAGAAUUAUGAUAAUGACAUUGUCUGCCUAUGUGUCUUGACCAAAUUACGUGCCAGCAGUCGCGGUAAUACGUAGAAGACUAGUGUUAUUCAUGUUUAAUCGGUUUAAAGGGUACCUAGACGGUAGAUCAAGCUUUCUAAUAAAGGAAAAGGACUAGUUUACUAGAGUUACUUAUGAGGGGGUAUUAAAGUACUGCUGGUGUAGAGAUGAAAUUCUGUCAUACCUCUUUUCAAAAGAAAAACCAUGGCACAGGUAUAGGCGAAGGCAUCCCCUUAUGUGAUAACUGACGUUGAGGGACGAAGGCUUUGUGUAGCGAACAGGAUUAGAUACCCCAGUAGUCGAAGCAGAAAAUGAUGAAUGUCAUAGAUUAGAUAUAUAAGUUUAUUCUAUAAAUGAAAGUGUAAGCAUUCCACCUCAUGAGUAAUUUGGCAACAUUGGAACUGAAAUCAUUAGACCGUUUCUGAAACCAG